UGGGGAAUAUUGGACAAUGGGGGCAACCCUGAUCCAGCCAUGCCGCGUGAGUGAUGAAGGCCUUCGGGUUGUAAAGCUCUUUUGGCGGGGACGAUGAUGACGGUACCCGCAGAAUAAGCCCCGGCUAACUUCGUGCCAGCAGCCGCGGUAAGACGAAGGGGGCUAGCGUUGUUCGGAAUUACUGGGCGUAAAGCGAGUGUAGGCGGUUGCCGUAGUCAGGUGUGAAAGCCUUGAGCUCAACUCAAGAAAUGCACUUGAUACUGGGUGACUAGAGGACCGGAGAGGAUAGUGGAAUUCCCAGUGUAGUGGUGAAAUACGUAGAGAUUGGGAAGAACACCAGUGGCGAAGGCGGCUAUCUGGACGGUUACUGACGCUAAGACUCGAAAGCGUGGGGAGCAAACAGGAUUAGAUACCCUGGUAGUCCACGCCGUAAACGAUGGGUGCUAGACGUUGGCGAGCUUGCUCGUCAGUGUCGCAGCUAACGCGUUAAGCACCCCGCCUGGGGAGUACGGCCGCAAGGUUGAAACUUAAAUGAAUUGACGGGGGUCAUAGCUG
This 555-nucleotide ribosomal RNA is filed under the name uncultured bacterium. Its description in RNAcentral is "partial 16S ribosomal RNA". It matches the Rfam family "Bacterial small subunit ribosomal RNA", at positions 355 to 928 of the family's 1533-position model. The record is from RNAcentral.